This 484-nucleotide ribosomal RNA is filed under the name uncultured bacterium. Its description in RNAcentral is "partial 16S ribosomal RNA". It matches the Rfam family "Bacterial small subunit ribosomal RNA", at positions 30 to 507 of the family's 1533-position model. The record is from RNAcentral.
AUUGAACGCUGGCGGCAGGCCUAACACAUGCAAGUCGAGCGGAUGAAGGGAGCUUGCUCCUGGAUUCAGCGGCGGACGGGUGAGUAAUGCCUAGGAAUCUGCCUGGUAGUGGGGGAUAACGUCCGGAAACGGGCGCUAAUACCGCAUACGUCCUGAGGGAGAAAGUGGGGGAUCUUCGGACCUCACGCUAUCAGAUGAGCCUAGGUCGGAUUAGCUAGUUGGUGGGGUAAAGGCCUACCAAGGCGACGAUCCGUAACUGGUCUGAGAGGAUGAUCAGUCACACUGGAACUGAGACACGGUCCAGACUCCUACGGGAGGCAGCAGUGGGGAAUAUUGGACAAUGGGCGAAAGCCUGAUCCAGCCAUGCCGCGUGUGUGAAGAAGGUCUUCGGAUUGUAAAGCACUUUAAGUUGGGAGGAAGAGCAGUAAGUUAAUCCCUUGCUGUUUUGACGUUACCAACAGAAUAAGCACCGGCUAACUUCGUG